This 737-nucleotide long non-coding RNA is filed under the name Solanum tuberosum (potato). RNAcentral's name for it is "long non-coding RNA (STUB_LNC010759)". The record is from RNAcentral. Lineage: Eukaryota; Viridiplantae; Streptophyta; Magnoliopsida; Solanales; Solanaceae.
GGGGUCGUUUGGUUUGAAAAUGAGUUAUGAUGGGAUAAGUAAUGUUGGGAUAAGUUAUGUUGGGAUUAGUUAUGAUGGGAUAAGUUGUGUUGGGAUUAUUUUUUAUUGAGUGUUUGGUUUGUUGUAUUCAAAAUAAUAAAUUUUAAGAACAAUUUAUUUGUUUACAAAAAUGCCCUUCAUUAAUGUAAAAAGUGAUAUAACAAAAGGGUUGAAAGAGACAUUUUUGUCAUUUACCUAUUUUAUCCCGGGAUAAGUUAUCCCGGGAUUACUAUACCACCCAAAUAGAGGGAUAACUUAUCCCGGUACUAAUUAUUAAUCCCGGGAUAAGUUAUCCCGAACUUGCCAACCAAACAACAAAAUAAGCGGUACUAUAAUUUAAUCCCGGGGACUAUAUGGUAUUAUCCCUCACACCAAACGACCCCUAUAAGAGUUAAAAGAAGAAACACAUAUAGGACCUCAAAGUAUUUACCAAAAAAGAUGCAACAAAGUAUUAAAGCUUCUAAAAAAAAGCAUGUGAACAUAACUAAUAUAUUUAUCAGACCUCAUUAGCAGAGUUAACCAUGUGACUACAACAAUUCUUAAAUCCAACUCAAAAGCAUUUGAUGGAAUGAAAACUGGUUGAAUAUUUGCAAAAUUAUUGAGAUCCAUCAAUUCCACAUGAAGAAACAACAACAAUAAAAACAAAAUAGCAACUAACGAAGGAAGCAGUCCAAAGCCUACAAGAAAGAAACAAGAGC